GAGCGGAAGUCCCUCGCCUAGCGGCGUCCCAUCUUUCCCAGCCUUCUGCUCACACCCGCUCCGCCCUGGCGGCUGUGGCAUCUGCCCCUUUGGAGCCCCAGGGGGGCAUUUCUAAGGGCCCAUCUCGGAAACAAACCUAGGUGUAGCACUUCGAUCCGACUCGUCCCAGAGCGGCCCCUGCGCUCCGAACAUUGAGCCAUUCAACAAUUACUGGGCUCCUGCUGGCGUGCCGUGCUAGGCGGUUGGAACAAAGCCUCUGCUCUCGUGGAGGAACACGGAGCCAAAUGCAUUUAAAAAGAUCAUAAUUAUGAAGAGAAUUAGGAAUGCAAGGGUCAGGAGGAGGCUUUUAAGUGCUGGAACGUGAAUACAUCACCCGUUAAAAACACGGCUAAUUACUAUUCAAUAGGGUCUCCAAUAAUGAUUUGAGGGGUUGGUCAGGGAAGGCCUCUGUGAGGAAGUGGCAUUUGGGAUGAGAGCUGAGUGACAAGAAGGGCCCCCCUCCCCCGUACUCCUGCAAGGAUCUAAGGGGACGAAAUCCCAAGCCUUGCAACUACAGAGACCCAGGGCUGGAGGGGCUGAGGCUGGCGAGAAGCAAGGCUGCAUGGGGCCCCGGGCUGGGAUUUCAUUCUGAGGGUGAUGGGAAGUCACUGGUGAGUUUAAUGCAGGGGCAAGCCUGGAUCCGAUUUACAUUUUAACAAGAUGAUGCUGGCUGCUGUGUGGGGGAUGGACUGUAGGUCUGCGCAGGUGGAAGCACGGGAAGACCAUUUAGAGAUAGUGGUGGACUGGACCCAGGGAAAAUGAGAACAGGUCAGAUUUGGGCUGAUGUGGAGCAGGUGGGGUGGGUGAUGGAGUUAGAUGUCGGGGGAGAGGAAAUGAGGGGGAUGCCAGGUUUGAGACUGAAAUAACUGGGUACAUUGUGGUGCCAUUACGGAGAAGAAUUUUCUUGGGAGUGGGAGGUAAAGGUGGUGGGAUCAAACGGUCUAUUAAAUCAGAGAAGCCUUUUACAAUGGCAGGGGAGGGGAACUGCUACUGGUCACCCU
This 1040-nucleotide long non-coding RNA is filed under the name Homo sapiens (human). RNAcentral's name for it is "non-protein coding lnc-SPNS2-4:1". The record is from RNAcentral. Lineage: Eukaryota; Metazoa; Chordata; Mammalia; Primates; Hominidae.